GGCUCUAUAGUGUAGUGGUUAGCACAUCUGCCCUACACAGAGAAGGCCCUGGGUUUGUGCUCCAGAUGGAGCCA
RNAcentral lists this transfer RNA (74 nucleotides) under Pteropus alecto (black flying fox). It matches the Rfam family "tRNA". From Rfam's summary of the family: Transfer RNA (tRNA) molecules are approximately 80 nucleotides in length. Their secondary structure includes four short double-helical elements and three loops (D, anti-codon, and T loops). The record is from Rfam by way of RNAcentral. Lineage: Eukaryota; Metazoa; Chordata; Mammalia; Chiroptera; Pteropodidae. RNAcentral also lists the same sequence under 1 other name.